This is a long non-coding RNA of Apodemus sylvaticus (European woodmouse), 731 nucleotides long. RefSeq lists it as uncharacterized. The record is from RefSeq and is a predicted model, not a curated record. The transcript is spliced from 3 exons. Lineage: Eukaryota; Metazoa; Chordata; Mammalia; Rodentia; Muridae.
CACACACACACCUCCUGCCCAACCUUGCCCCAAGAGUCAUAAGUCCAAGUCCUAGCCUGGUCCAACACUGUUAGGGGACUCCACUCAGGCAAGGCUUUUACUGGACCCCUGCAUUAGUGUGUUUUGUGGACUCUGAGUGGCCCCGUCUGUGUGUCAGUAGCUGAACGGGGCUGCAGUAUCCUGAAACAGAUGUAUCACUUGAACCUGUACAGACACUGGGGUAAGGCAUAGGGGUAUCAAGGGGUGCAGGCAACAUUGCUGAGCCCUGAAGCCCCUCCCAGGACACAGCCAGAACUGGACCAGAAGCUUCUCAAGACUUCUAAGAGCUUGGUUACUGUCUUCUGCAACUUGUCGGCACCAGUGGGUGGCCUUCCUCGGAGCCUCCGAACUUGGCAAAGAGCACCCAGCACUUCCUGGGGAUUCUUCUUGCAGAAAGCAGGUUUCUUCAGUGGCAGUGGGAAUGCGAACCUGUAGCCCCUUUGUAAUCAUCUGUUCAGGUGAAGUCUGAGGACACUUGGGACAGGCAGAAGAGCCUGAGAAAGAAGGACACACAGGCCCUUCACCUAGGGCAGAAAGAGAGUGGCCAAGCUAAUAGCCCCCAUCAGAGACAACUUCUACCACACACAAACCAGUUUCUCCUGUCAGCUCAUAUGUGGCACCAGAGCUAGGAGAAGCAGGCAUUUGAGAUGGUUCUGGGAAAAGCACCACUCCACGCUGAGCCUGACAAUCUU